RNAcentral lists this ribosomal RNA (253 nucleotides) under uncultured bacterium. Its description in RNAcentral is "partial 16S ribosomal RNA". It matches the Rfam family "Bacterial small subunit ribosomal RNA", at positions 524 to 776 of the family's 1533-position model. The record is from RNAcentral.
GACAGAGGUGCCAAGCGUUAGGCGGAAUCACUGGGCUUAAAGCGUGUGUAGGCGGAGUUCUAAGUACCUUGUGAAAUCCCACGGCUCAACCGUGGAACUGCUUGGUAUACUGGUUCUCUUGGGUCAUCUAGGGGCGAGCGGAACAAGUGGUGGAGCGGUGAAAUGCGUAGAUAUCACUUGGAACGCCAAUGGUGAAAACAGCUCGCUGGGGAUGUACCGACGCUGAGACACGAAAGCCAGGGGAGCGAACGGG